This 253-nucleotide ribosomal RNA is filed under the name uncultured bacterium. RNAcentral describes it as "partial 16S ribosomal RNA". It matches the Rfam family "Bacterial small subunit ribosomal RNA", at positions 524 to 776 of the family's 1533-position model. The record is from RNAcentral.
UACGGGGGGGGCAAGCGUUGUUCGGAAUUACUGGGCGUAAAGGGUUAGUAGGUGGCCAACUAAGUCAGACGUGAAAUCCCUCAGCUUAACUGGGGAACUGCGUCUGAGACUGAUUGGCUCGAGGACAGGAGAGGAACGCGGAAUUCCAGGUGUAGCGGUGAAAUGCGCAGAUAUCGGGAAGAACACCCGUGGCGAAGGCGGCUCUCUGGGACGGUACUGACGCUGAGACGCGAAAGCGUGGGGAGCGAACAGG